UACGUAGGUGGCAAGCGUUGUCCGGAUUUACUGGGCGUAAAGAGCGGGUAGGCGGCCGCAUAUGUCGGGUGUGAAAUCUCUCGGCUUAACCGAGAAACUGCAUUCGAAACUGUGCGGCUAGAGGACUGGAGAGGGAAGUGGAAUUCCCGGUGUAGCGGUGGAAUGCGUAGAGAUCGGGAAGAACAUCGGUGGCGAAGGCGGCCUGCUGGGCUCUUGCUGACACUGAUGCGCGACAGCGUGGGGAGCAAACAGG
RNAcentral lists this ribosomal RNA (253 nucleotides) under uncultured bacterium. RNAcentral's name for it is "partial 16S ribosomal RNA". It matches the Rfam family "Bacterial small subunit ribosomal RNA", at positions 524 to 776 of the family's 1533-position model. The record is from RNAcentral.